GUGAGUGGGGCGGGCACGAAGCGGAGCCGGCUGAGGGGGGCGUGGUGGAGCGUUGAAGGAUGGCGGCCGCGAUGGCGAGCGCUGCGGAGCGGGCAGUGUUGGAAGAAGAGUUUAAAUGGCUUUUGCAGGAGGAGGUUCAUGGUGUCCUGAGACAGCUGCAGGAUAUUCUGAAGGAGGCUUCUCACAGAUUUGCUUUGCCUGUUGGUGGCACAGAAGGACCAGUCAAACAGGAGAAUUUUAUUCUGGACACUUCAAGCGCAGACCAGGUGAAAGGAGUGUUGAUGCUGCAGGGAGAUGCUCUCUGCCAAGCUGAUAUUAACUUGAAAAUGCCCAGAAAUAACCAGCUCCUGCACUUCACAUUCCGCGAAGACAAGCAGUGGAAAUUGCAGCAGAUCCAGGAUGCUAGGAACCACGUUAACCAAGCAAUUUACCUGCUCACAAACCGAGAUGUAAACUACCAGUUCAAAACCGGCUCUGAGGUCCUCAAGCUGAUGGAUGCGGUGAUGUUACAGCUGACACGAGCUCGGAACCGGCUCACUACUCCAGCCACCUUAACCCUACCAGAAAUUGCCUCCAGCGGCCUUACGAAAAUGUUCACCCCUGCUCUGCCCUCGGACAUCCUUGUGAAUGUUUACAUCAACCUAAAUAAGCUGUGUUUGACUGUCUACCAGCUCCAUGCACUGCAGCCCAAUUCCACCAAGAACUUCAGACCUACUGGAGGGUCUAUUCUGCAUAACCCUGGAGCCAUGUUUGAGUGUGGCAGCCAAAGAUAUGAAGUCAGCCACGUCCAUAAAGUGGAGUGUGUGGUACCUUGGCUAAAUGAUGCCCUUGUCUUCUUCACGGUCUCUCUGCAGCUCAGCCAGCAGCUGAAGGACAAGAUCUCUGUGUUUUCCAGCUACUGGAACUACAGGCCGUACUAAUCUUUCCAGGAGAGUUUGCCCCUGUGUGACCCCGAACUCUACUGCCCUGCCCUCUUAGGAGGAAACCCCUGUGUACCAACCUGAGAGGAGUGCCAUGUCGCAUUGGCCUGUGUCCUGCCAUACACCAGGGUUAUACUGCCCUUCCUCACAACAUCUUUGCCCACGGAACCGUUAGGAGAAGGUGGACUACAAACAUGGUUCGCUGCCUACUGGGUGCAGGAGGUCAGCGGAAACCAGUCCCUGUCAGCACUGAAUCCAGAAGAUUGUCUUGUUUGCUCUACUCAGUUCUCACCUAAAUAUCCAUUACGCUUUCAAUUUGUACCAAUAGUUUAUAAUUUUUCUUCAUUUAAUUUGUCUAAUGUAAAUUGUUCUUCCCCCUAUGUGCAGUGGGCUGCUUCUAGUGUUUGGAAUAAUUGUUCUUCACAAUUUAAUUCUUAUGUGUUUCCAGUUCUUAAUGCUUCAGGUCGAAGUGAUCAUAGCUUUCCUUUAAUUGAUAGUAUUAGAGUUCCAGCAUCUCAUUGUUGGGUUUUUGUUGGCAAUAGUUUAACCCCAGCCCCUACUUGGGUGGGUACUUAUUCUAAUUGUUCUAUGUGGAGUUUCUCUUAUGCUAAUACCUCCCUAACUAAACCCACUCUUACUUACACCUACUCCCCUCCCCUUAAUUGUUCUUAUUGUCUUAAUUAUAACAUUCUUUUUGGAACCUUUUAUACCUCCAUAACACAUACGUGUCUGUUCCAUGCCCAGCAUAUGCAUCAUGCUGAGGCUGCAUGUACCAAUCGAGCAUCCAGCUUUUCCUCUGUGAACAAUAAUAAGUGGAGCCAUAUCACAAUUUCUUCCUUAAGACCCAGUCAUUUUUGGAUUUGCGGUAAUGUCGCAUUUGCUGUGCUUCCUCCCAACCCCCGGGGUAUAUGCACCAUUGGCACCCUGUAUCUACAGGGAGGAGGUGUUUAUACCAUGCCAUCUAGCCACUGACACCGUCAUAGUACCCGCUCGUUUUGGACUCGUUUGCAAACAGCAGCUUCCUCCCUCGCCUGCUCUGUUGUUAGUUUUAACCCUGUCGGUUAUAUGAUGUUACGUGAUCAAGUGCUGUUUCAAUCCCUUGCUGUUGAAAUGCUUGCUAAUACUACUGCAAACGUUGAGCUCUACUGUCAAAGAGUCACGAGAGUCCUUCCAGUUUUGGUCAUGGCUCGAUUGGUUUGGCCUUGCGCCCUACAAAUCCUAUUUCCAAUCCCUGUUUGUGUCCCUUCUGAUUGGGCUCGCUCUUCUCUGUCUCGGAUGUGCCUUCAUUAAAGCCUGCAUUCACAAGUUUGUUGCCUCGGCCUACAUUGCUUCCACCCCCGAAGCGCAUCCCCUCGUAGGUGGGAAUGAGGAGUCGGACUCGGAAGUUUAGGUUUUCGGCCAGACUAUUUCGGCCAGGGCACGGGGGCAUGUUAAGAUAAGUUCCUGUCUGCAUCCUAAAAACUUGCCCAUACCGGUAUUGCCCUGGCCUCUUCCUUUGU
Molecule: RNA transcript, 2419 nt
Organism: Gopherus evgoodei (Goodes thornscrub tortoise)
Lineage: Eukaryota; Metazoa; Chordata; Testudines; Testudinidae
Gene: ROGDI
Gene name: rogdi atypical leucine zipper
Exons: 12
Source: RefSeq, a predicted model, not a curated record